This 332-nucleotide ribosomal RNA is filed under the name uncultured bacterium. RNAcentral describes it as "bacterial SSU rRNA". It matches the Rfam family "Bacterial small subunit ribosomal RNA", at positions 94 to 426 of the family's 1533-position model. The record is from RNAcentral.
AGUGGCGGACGGGUGAGUAACGCGUGAGCAAUCUGCCUUUAGAGGGGGACAACAGUUGGAAACGACUGCUAAUACCGCAUAACGUAUCGGUGCGGCAUCGCACUGAUACCAAAGAUUAUAUCGCUGAGAGAUGAGCUCGCGUCCGAUUAGCUAGUUGGUGAGGUAACGGCUCACCAAGGCGACGAUCAGUAGCCGGUCUGAGAGGAUGAACGGCCACAUUGGGACUGAGAUACGGCCCAGACUCCUACGGGAGGCAGCAGUGGGGAAUAUUGGGCAAUGGGGGAAACCCUGACCCAGCAACGCCGCGUGAAGGAAGAAGGCCUUCGGGUUGU